This is a non-coding RNA of Fukomys damarensis (Damara mole-rat), 286 nucleotides long. NCBI's taxonomy places the organism in Eukaryota, Metazoa, Chordata, Mammalia, Rodentia, Bathyergidae. The record is from Rfam.
GAACGUGAGGGUAAUGUGGCUGUAACACCUGUCACCCCAUUGAUGGCCAGCGCUGAUUCAGCCGAUCUGGCUGGCUGGGCGGGUGUCCCCUUGCUCCCUCACCACUCCAUGUGCCCUCCUCCCUAAGCUGCACACUCAGUUGAAGAGGAUGAACCCCCCCAACAGAGGACAGUUUCCUUGGUCAAGGGUAUACGAGUAGCUGCACUGCCCUGCUAGAACCUCCAAACAAGCUCUCAAGAUUUAAAAACUAAAGUGGGGGCAGAAAUCACUCAGAGCGAAGACCCAG